This is a long non-coding RNA of Ipomoea triloba (trilobed morning glory), 1103 nucleotides long. RefSeq lists it as uncharacterized. NCBI's taxonomy places the organism in Eukaryota, Viridiplantae, Streptophyta, Magnoliopsida, Solanales, Convolvulaceae. The transcript is spliced from 4 exons. The record is from RefSeq and is a predicted model, not a curated record.
UCAAAUUCUAUAUAAAUUUUUCGAAUUUUAAAUAUAUUUUUCGAAUUUGAUUAGAUUAUUAUUAUUAAAUAUAUGAUUAGUUAGUAUAUUAAUGUUGAAUUUAGGAUUACUAUAUUACUGUUGAAUUUAGGGUUACUAUAUUGAUGUUGAAUUUAGGGUUACUAUAUUGAUAUUGAAUUUAGGGUUACUAUAUUAUUGUUGAAUUUAGGGUUAGUAUAUUGAUGUUGAAUUUAGGGUUAGUAUAUUAAUGUUGAAUUUAGUAUUAUUGAGACAGUCACUGGUGAUGAGAGUGCAUAGUAAAUGUAUCCUAGAUAUAGUCUUCCUACUGUACAUGCCAUCUGAUGUUGAAUACUGGCUGGUUGGAUUUGUCUAUUACUUAUCUUAAUCCAUUCACUUUGUUGAAUAUCUUAAAACUAUGGUCUCUUAGUGCCUGCAUAUUGCAGUUAGAUCAAUAGUAGAUACUAUUGAAAUCAGUUCUUAUCAAGAACUGAAGGAAUCCAGAGAUAGAUCUCAUCCUUAGAAUGCGAGGAAGGGACUUGUACCAGGUAUACAUUGAGGAAAGACAGGUCCAGAUAAAAGUUGUUGACCAGUGGUUCUAUUAUCAUUUCUUCAUUCCCUAAAUAUUGUUUCAAGCUAACUAUAAGGCAAGUCUUGAAGUAUUUUUUAAAAUGUUCAAUAGUUCUGUAAUGACUAAUGAGUUUGCUGUACCAAAGGAGAAGCUGGAGCAUUUCAGAAAUGUCACUUCUCAAGAUAUAAUUUGUUCCCAGAAGUCUGAUGGAAGUGCACCUAUGCUAAAGGAGGAAGUCAGGAAGAUAUAGUUGUAACUAAUGUCAAAAUUUAUUUGACUCGUGGAAGAAAAAAAUCUGCUUGAAUGGACCGGGUAUUAGCUCAUGGAAUACUUGUUCAUAUCAUCAUUGACAGCUUGUGUUGUAUUCACUUGUGGAAAUAACACAUCCUUCUGUUGUGGGCACAGUGAAUUGUUGAUUAUAUUUUGAAGUAGAUGAUGAAUUGUUGUGUAUUUUGAAAUACUUAUGUGUAGAAGAUGAUUGUAUUAAUGAAUUGAUGCUUUUGCAUUUAUGGAGUUGAUUAAAUUGUUAUUGUUA